GCGGCACUAGCUCAGUUGCCAGAGCGCAACCUUGCCAAGGUUGAGGUCACGAGUUCGAGCCGCGUGUGCCGCUCCA
RNAcentral lists this transfer RNA (76 nucleotides) under Pseudoalteromonas sp. S4488. RNAcentral describes it as "tRNA-Gly". It matches the Rfam family "tRNA". Rfam says of the family: Transfer RNA (tRNA) molecules are approximately 80 nucleotides in length. Their secondary structure includes four short double-helical elements and three loops (D, anti-codon, and T loops). The record is from RNAcentral. Lineage: Bacteria; Pseudomonadati; Pseudomonadota; Gammaproteobacteria; Alteromonadales; Pseudoalteromonadaceae.